RNAcentral lists this ribosomal RNA (500 nucleotides) under uncultured bacterium. Its description in RNAcentral is "partial 16S ribosomal RNA". It matches the Rfam family "Bacterial small subunit ribosomal RNA", at positions 28 to 507 of the family's 1533-position model. The record is from RNAcentral.
GACGAACGCUGGCGGCGUGCUUAACACAUGCAAGUCGAACGGGUCUGCCCUGUUUUUUGCGGGGUGGGUCAGUGGCGAACGGGUGAGUAACACGUGAGUAACCUGCCCCUCACUUCUGGAUAACCGCUUGAAAGGGUGGCUAAUACGGGGUGUUCUGGCUGUGCCGCAUGGUGUGGCUGGGAAAGAUUCACUUUUGUGGUGUUUUGGUGGGGGAUGGGCUCGCGGCCUAUCAGCUUGUUGGUGGGGUGAUGGCCUGCCAAGGCUUUGACGGGUAGCCGGCCCGAGAGGGUGGGCGGUCACACUGGGACUGAGAUACGGCCCAGACUCCUGCGGGAGGCAGCAGUGGGGGGUAUUGCACAAUGGGCGGAAGCCUGAUGCAGCGACGUCGCGUGAGGGAUGGAGGCCUUCGGGUUGUGAACCUCUUUCGCCGGUGAAGAAGGUCCUGCUCUUUGUGGUGGGGUUGACGGUAGCCGGGUUAUGAAGCGCCGGCUAACUACGUG